CUGGGAAGCUCAAGACCUGAUUUAAAGAGACAGACUCCGGAGCAUUCCUAGUCUCCUAGUCUUGGCAUGAAUUAUUCAGGUUGGAGAAGCUGACAUUUGAUCUCCCGGCCAUUCGAGUAUCUUGCUUGGCAGAGCUGGUUGGGAUGGAGCCUCUCCUCUCCACAAGAAUCAGUGCUCCAAAAAUGAGUGACCAGAACUGUCUGCUUCCUUGGCCUUACUGCAUGGAGACCUGCCUUCAGCCCUUAAGGGAUUGCAGCCCACUGUCAAGGCCCGUGCUCCCUCUCAGGUUUUCAUGGCGGCUGACUUCUGGUUGCUGCUCACUGCUUCCCCUGCAAGGUAAAGGGCCUUCAGGGCAGCAGGCAACCUUCAUUAAUUGGUGCUAAACCCCUCAGUUGGGGAAGAGAAGCCUAAGAAGAACCUACGGUCGUUGAGCAAGGGGAUCCAUAUUCUCUGUGCUCUCUGGAAGAAGAGCCCUCUCUCUGGGAGUUGUGUACAGUAGGUGUUUUAAUAAAUGUCUGUCUCCUC
Molecule: long non-coding RNA, 525 nt
Organism: Myodes glareolus (Bank vole)
Lineage: Eukaryota; Metazoa; Chordata; Mammalia; Rodentia; Cricetidae
Source: RefSeq, a predicted model, not a curated record